Molecule: ribosomal RNA, 490 nt
Filed under: Parnassius mnemosyne angorae
Lineage: Eukaryota; Metazoa; Arthropoda; Insecta; Lepidoptera; Papilionidae
Description: partial 16S ribosomal RNA
Source: RNAcentral
UUUUUGAAUUGAUAAUUUAAAGUCUAAUCUGCCCACUGAUAAUAAAUUAAAGGGCUGCAGUAUAUUGACUGUACAAAGGUAGCAUAAUCAAUAGUCUCUUAAUUGGUGACUUGUAUGAAAGAUUUGAUGAGAUAUAAACUGUCUCUUUAUAAUUUUUAGAAUUUAAUUUUUUAGUUAAAAAGCUAAAAUAUAUUUAAAAGACNNNNNNNNNNNNNNNNNNNNAAUAUUUAAUAUGUAUAUUAAAUAUUUUUUAUGAAAUUUAAAAUUUUAAUAUUUAUAAAUAUUUUGUUGGGGUGACAGAAAAAUUAAAAUAACUUUUUUUAUAAUUUUACAUUAAUAAAUGGUUAAAUGAUCCGUAAUUUACGAUUAUAAGAAAAAAUUACCUUAGGGAUAACAGCGUAAUUUUUUUUUUUAGUUCAAAUAAGAAAAAAAGUUUGCGACCUCGAUGUUGGAUUAAGAUAAAAUUUAAAUGCAAAAGUUUAAAAUUUUU